CCAGUGACUCCCUAUGAUCUGAGAUUCAUUUUUACAUCUCUGCUUGCUGCUGCUGCAGAAAAGCUAUGAUGAGGUGACUCACUGGCACACUCAUUUAUGAGCCAUCUGAAACAUCACAUUUUUCAUGCCCAGUUCUGCAGAUCCCUGUUCCUGUAAUGACUAAUUAAAUGAGCUUUCCCCCUGCCCCGCUCCCAGUUUUCUUUUGCACUCUUUUCUCUAAGAGUUCAAGUCUUUUAACUCUAAAAGUUGAAGGCUCUAGUCUUUUAAUACUCUUCAACCUUGCUCAAGGCUUAAGACAAGGUCUGUGUAUCUGCUUGCCUGACCUUGUUUAUGUGAAAUUUGAUGCUGGUUACCCCUGAUGUUUAUCUGAUCCAGCCUCCAGGCCUCUCACAGCAAUGUGGAUAUUUGAGCCAGGCAUUCUUGGCUUCUUUUGCCAGCAGCCAAGAGAAAUAGGCAUGUUUAAGGUGGGAUUGACUCUCCUUCAUGUAGCAAGGUCUGCAGCAGGCUGAUAAGACCCCACACUAUUAUUAGGAUCCCCACAAUCAUAUGUGUUGCAUCAAACAUGUCCUAAAAUCAAGGGGACAUUUGCAAUGAAUUUUAUAAUGUCUUUUCAUUACUGGCUAUGGUAGACAUGUUUGUCAGCAUAAUCACAGUGAGUGCAGUCUGCUGGGGGACAGCAAAUCUCUGGGAGUGUGUCCCACCAAUAUUUCACUCAAAAUAAGUCACAGAAAACAUCUUUUCAUUUAAAGACUGAGCCUGGCCCCUAUAGCCCCUGUGGAGGUGAAUGUCUUUAGUGCUUGCUGUUCGUUAUAGAACAGAAAAUUAGGAUAAAAAGCAAUUCUAGAUUUCCCCUGAAGCCACUUCACCCUUGUCCUUGUUAAUGCAUUGCUUUCUCUCUAAUGCUUUUAACCUAGUAAACUUCAGAACAGUAAGAAUUUAAUAGUGACAUAAGUGCACUUCCAUUUGGGGACAGAAAUAAACUAUAAUGAUGUCAGGAUGUUUAUAUGAAAAUAUUUGUGGCUUUUCCUGGUAGGAUGCCUCUGCAAAAGAAAACCUCAUGCAAACAAGAAAAGUUCAUACCCCUAAUUAAAGCAGUAAUAAACUUUACAAGGGAUUAUAACACCAAAGGCCAGGCUGACAUCCCUGAACUCCUACUGACAAAGCUUGCUGCCUGUUGCCUUGCUUUCAGCUGUGCCAAAAAUCCUCCUGACAAGUGAACUGGAAGCACUUUCACAGGCACAACCGCAGUGUCAUUCAGCUGCUCCAGCGCCACUGCAGUGAUGCUGCCAUGCCCUAGCUCUGCUCUGCUUGAAGUGUUAAACACCACCCUAGGCCUACAAAAGGAUUUCUUUAUUAAAACUAACUUUAGGGCUAAGAAAGGGCUCAUUGGUCUCUAAUCAGAGGAAAGAAAGAGGUCUGUAAAAGGGCAUCUUAGCAACCAGUAUCUCUUCCGCAUCAACAUUUCUCACACAUUUUGGAAAGGCUUCUCUUUCUGCUACCAUUCUCAGCAAACAGAUUGCUGGCCAGUUAAAGUCUCAUCUCAAAAUAAGAAAGGCUUGGGUUGACCUGGGGUUGCAUCCCAGAGAAGGAAAUUCCUUGGCUCGGCUCAGAUUGCCACGGAAGGAAACACUGCAGGCACUGUCGGGUAGAAGGGAUAAUGAGCAAAAAGAGAAUCCAGCAGGGAAAAGAAAUGCUGGUUGCUGGAGGGGAUAAUAUUGCAGCACUGCUGGGGUGAAAGGCAAAGCCAGGAAAAGCCCUGGUCCCUCUCUCCCACUUGGUGCUGCGAUGCAGGGCAGGGAUGGGCAGCCCUGGGGAUACAUUACAGGAGAUUCUGUGACAUCUGUAUCUGCAAGCCAGAGAGCUCUCAGCAAAGCAAGGCAGUAUGAACUGCUGCCACAUUCACCUGCUCCAGGGUCCAUCAGUCCAUGCUAAGUAUUCCUCAUGUGUCCUGUAGUUGUCAGCUUAUGGAGAUCACAUGUGCUACUAUGCAAGGCUUAAAAUAAUAUUCAACAGAGGUGAAUGAUAGCUUUUUGCUGAUAACAAAAAAUGCAAAAACAACAAAAUGCGUUUCUGCUUGUGUCUUAAAACACCGCAUACUUCCUACUAAUUAUUUUUAUGGUUUCUCACUCAGCCCACCCUUGAAAGCAAAGACUAAACCUGCAGUAUUUUCUCUUGGUCUGGCCACAGAGCUGUAUUUGUAUUGCUGCUUCACCGAGGCAGCAUCUAAAUGUCCAGGACCUCACAGCCUUUAGCCACAAUCUCUCAGCAACAAGCCUUGCAGCAGAGUGUUCAAAAACAACACACAUUCCAAAGAUGCCCCUUUUUUAAAAAAAACAGAAAUAGAAACAAAAGGGAAACAAAAAUAGAAAGAAUAGACAAUGCAAAUUUAAGUCAAAGUAAAAACAUACAGAAGGAACAUCCAAAGCAUGGAGAAGGUCCAAAGAUGCCUCCAAGUAAUCCUGCAACUGGGUUUUCAGGUUAUAUGCUUUUGCAGGAAGAAUUUUUCAUAAAUCUAUUACAGCACCAAAACCACAUCUUAAGCUACAUCUUAAGCAAGUCAUUUGGCAGCACAGGGAAGGGUAAAACUGGCAUGUAUUGGCUCAAAGCACUUGGUUUUGAACUGGCUCACCAGCCUCGCUGGCAAACAACGCUGCUCUCAGCUUUCAGUGCUGAUUUAUCCUGGCACAGGCACAAUUCUGGCACAACUUCAGUGUUAUUAACGAGAGAGCGUGAUUUAACUUUUGUACAUUUCUAGGAAGAGCAGUUUCAUUUCUGCUCUCAGGAUAAGACAUCUUCCACAUGCAGGAAGUGUUGGUGGUCUUACUGCAGUGGAGAGGAUGGCAGGGCAAGACAUGAGCACCCACUGCUCCUUGCUGUAACAAAUGCCCAGAUUUACAGAGAAAAAGUGCAUGGACAUUCUUCUCCCCAGAGCUGUUGAACCAAAAUAAUCUGAUUUAACAAUGAAUUGGAGUGACCUGUCUUGAUAACUACUGCUCAAAAGCAAACCUGAGCCUGAGGGUGGGGGAAAAGAAAGAAAUAACAAAGAAGAUGGUUUGGACCUGCACAGAAGAUGAUCUGGUCACGCGUGAUCUACACAUCUGGCCAUAUGAUGGCAGAGAGGAAAGGAUGAAGGUGAAAGUAAGGGAUUGCUUGAGAGAUCUGAUUGCAGCCCUCCUGUGAGGAGGUCACUGAAAAGAAGGAGCCUCCUCCUGGGGUCCAUGGUGGGAGGAUGAAGAAACAAUGGGCAUCAGUUGAAACACAAGAGAUUCUGAUCAGAUAUAAGGAAAAGCUUUUUUACUGUGACAACAUUCAAGCAGCGAGGCAGCUUGCCCGGGGAGGUUGUGCAAACUCUGUCCUUGGAUAUUUUCAAGUCCCAGCUGGAUAAGAUCUUGAGUAAUCUGGUCUGACGUCAGAGCCACCCCUGCUUUAAGGAGAUGGAAGAAGAGACCUCCUGAAAUUCAUUCUCAUCCAAAUUACUGUACGUUUCCAAUGUGUGUAAUUUCUCUGCAGAGUAGCUUAUCUCCUCUGCAGAGUACCUUAUCUACAAAAUGGUAGACAGUGUGGCUUGAAAGUUUGCUUAACUGGUAAAGAAUGGGACAACACAGAAUGUGGUCUGUGGUGUAUACAUACUUCCUAUUCAACAAUUGUUUUUUUAGGUCCCUGCUUCACAUAUACCAGAGGUUACAGAGAAUGAACUAAGCAAACAGGGU
This is a long non-coding RNA of Prinia subflava (tawny-flanked prinia), 3710 nucleotides long. RefSeq lists it as uncharacterized. The transcript is spliced from 3 exons. The record is from RefSeq and is a predicted model, not a curated record. NCBI's taxonomy places the organism in Eukaryota, Metazoa, Chordata, Aves, Passeriformes, Cisticolidae.